RNAcentral lists this ribosomal RNA (425 nucleotides) under uncultured Cohnella sp. Its description in RNAcentral is "bacterial SSU rRNA". It matches the Rfam family "Bacterial small subunit ribosomal RNA", at positions 355 to 774 of the family's 1533-position model. The record is from RNAcentral. Lineage: Bacteria; Bacillati; Bacillota; Bacilli; Caryophanales; Paenibacillaceae.
UAGGGAAUCUUCCACAAUGGGCGAAAGCCUGAUGGAGCAACGCCGCGUGAGUGAGGAAGGCUUUCGGGUCGUAAAGCUCUGUUGCCAGGGAAGAAUAAGGGCUAGUUAACUGCUAGCCUGAUGACGGUACCUGAGAAGAAAGCCCCGGCUAACUACGUGCCAGCAGCCGCGGUAAUACGUAGGGGGCAAGCGUUGUCCGGAUUUAUUGGGCGUAAAGCGCGCGCAGGCGGUUCUUUAAGUCUGGUGUCUAAGUGCGGGGCUCAACCCCGUGAUGCACUGGAAACUGGGGAACUUGAGUGCAGAAGAGGAGAGCGGAAUUCCACGUGUAGCGGUGAAAUGCGUAGAGAUGUGGAGGAACACCAGUGGCGAAGGCGGCUCUCUGGACUGUAACUGACGCUGAGGCGCGAAAGCGUGGGGAGCAAACA